UGUUAUAUAGCAUAAUGGUAAUGCAAUAAAUUGCAAAUUUAUUUUAUAGUAGUUCGAAUCCACUUAUAACAU
Molecule: transfer RNA, 72 nt
Filed under: Emiliania huxleyi
Lineage: Eukaryota; Haptophyta; Isochrysidales; Noelaerhabdaceae
Also listed under: 4 other names
Description: tRNA-Cys
Rfam family: tRNA
About the family: Transfer RNA (tRNA) molecules are approximately 80 nucleotides in length. Their secondary structure includes four short double-helical elements and three loops (D, anti-codon, and T loops). Further hydrogen bonds mediate the characteristic L-shaped molecular structure. tRNAs have two regions of fundamental functional importance: the anti-codon, which is responsible for specific mRNA codon recognition, and the 3' end, to which the tRNAs corresponding amino acid is attached (by aminoacyl-tRNA synthetases). tRNAs cope with the degeneracy of the genetic code in two manners: having more than one tRNA (with a specific anti-codon) for a particular amino acid; and 'wobble' base-pairing, i.e. permitting non-standard base-pairing at the 3rd anti-codon position.
Source: RNAcentral